CGAACGGGUGAGUAACGCGUGAGGAACCUGCCUCGAAGAGGGGGACAACAGUUGGAAACGACUGCUAAUACCGCAUAAGCCCACGGCUCGGCAUCGAGCAGAGGGAAAAGGAGUGAUCCGCUUUGAGAUGGCCUCGCGUCCGAUUAGCUAGUUGGUGAGGUAACGGCCCACCAAGGCGACGAUCGGUAGCCGGACUGAGAGGUUGAACGGCCACAUUGGGACUGAGACACGGCCCAG
Molecule: ribosomal RNA, 237 nt
Filed under: uncultured bacterium
Lineage: Bacteria
Description: partial 16S ribosomal RNA
Rfam family: Bacterial small subunit ribosomal RNA
Source: RNAcentral